RNAcentral lists this small nuclear RNA (268 nucleotides) under Cebus imitator (Panamanian white-faced capuchin). RNAcentral's name for it is "7SK RNA (ENSCCAG00000015402.1)". It matches the Rfam family "7SK RNA". From Rfam's summary of the family: 7SK was discovered as an abundant small nuclear RNA in the mid-70s but a possible function has only recently been suggested. Two independent studies have found that 7SK RNA binds the CDK9/cyclin T complex (known as elongation factor P-TEFb). The record is from RNAcentral. Lineage: Eukaryota; Metazoa; Chordata; Mammalia; Primates; Cebidae.
AGAUAUGAGAGUAAUUUGGCUGUGACACCUGCCACCACAUUGAUGUCAGGGUUGAUUCGGCUGGUCUGGCUGGAUAGAUGGGUGUCCCCUGCCUCCCUCUGGGCUCCACGCACAACCCCCUGAAGCUGCACACUUGGUCAAAGAGAACAACCUUCCCUGAUAGAGGAAGAUUAUUAUUUGGUCAAAGGCAUACAAAAAGUUUCUGGUCUCUCCAAACAAGAAUAAGAAAAGAAGAGAUCAAUGAAGGAGACAAAGAGAAAAAAAUGGC